AACGAACGCUGGCGGCAGGCCUAACACAUGCAAGUCGAACGCUCGUAGCAAUACGGGAGUGGCAGACGGGUGCGUAACGCGUGGGAACAUACCCUUUGGUUCGGAAUAACUCAGGGAAACUUGAGCUAAUACCGGAUACGCCCGAGAGGGGAAAGAUUUAUUGCCGAAGGAUUGGCCCGCGUCUGAUUAGCUAGUUGGUGAGGUAACGGCUCACCAAGGCGACGAUCAGUAGCUGGUCUGAGAGGAUGAUCAGCCACACUGGGACUGAGACACGGCCCAGACUCCUACGGGAGGCAGCAGUGGGGAAUAUUGGACAAUGGGCGCAAGCCUGAUCCAGCCAUGCCGCGUGAGUGAUGACGGCCUUAGGGUUGUAAAGCUCUUUUACCCGGGAAGAUAAUGACGGUACCGGGAGAAUAAGCCCCGGCUAACUUCGUGCCA
This 438-nucleotide ribosomal RNA is filed under the name uncultured bacterium. RNAcentral describes it as "bacterial SSU rRNA". It matches the Rfam family "Bacterial small subunit ribosomal RNA", at positions 29 to 510 of the family's 1533-position model. The record is from RNAcentral.